RNAcentral lists this ribosomal RNA (2901 nucleotides) under Escherichia coli. RNAcentral describes it as "bacterial LSU rRNA". It matches the Rfam family "Bacterial large subunit ribosomal RNA". The record is from RNAcentral. Lineage: Bacteria; Pseudomonadati; Pseudomonadota; Gammaproteobacteria; Enterobacterales; Enterobacteriaceae.
UAAGCGACUAAGCGUACACGGUGGAUGCCCUGGCAGUCAGAGGCGAUGAAGGACGUGCUAAUCUGCGAUAAGCGUCGGUAAGGUGAUAUGAACCGUUAUAACCGGCGAUUUCCGAAUGGGGAAACCCAGUGUGAUUUGUCACACUAUCAUUAACUGAAUCCAUAGGUUAAUGAGGCGAACCGGGGGAACUGAAACAUCUAAGUACCCCGAGGAAAAGAAAUCAACCGAGAUUCCCCCAGUAGCGGCGAGCGAACGGGGAGGAGCCCAGAGCCUGAAUCAGUGUGUGUGUUAGUGGAAGCGUCUGGAAAGGCGCGCGAUACAGGGUGACAGCCCCGUACACAAAAAUGCACAUGCUGUGAGCUCGAUGAGUAGGGCGGGACACGUGGUAUCCUGUCUGAAUAUGGGGGAACCAUCCUCCAAGGCUAAAUACUCCUGACUGACCGAUAGUGAACCAGUACCGUGAGGGAAAGGCGAAAAGAACCCCGGCGAGGGGAGUGAAAAAGAACCUGAAACCGUGUACGUACAAGCAGUGGGAGCACGCUUCGGCGUGUGACUGCGUACCUUUUGUAUAAUGGGUCAGCGACUUAUAUUCUGUAGCAAGGUUAACCGAAUAGGGGAGCCGAAGGGAAACCGAGUCUUAACUGGGCGUUAAGUUGCAGGGUAUAGACCCGAAACCCGGUGAUCUAGCCAUGGGCAGGUUGAAGGUUGGGUAACACUAACUGGAGGACCGAACCGACUAAUGUUGAAAAAUUAGCGGAUGACUUGUGGCUGGGGGUGAAAGGCCAAUCAAACCGGGAGAUAGCUGGUUCUCCCCGAAAGCUAUUUAGGUAGCGCCUCGUGAAUUCAUCUCCGGGGGUAGAGCACUGUUUCGGCAAGGGGGUCAUCCCGACUUACCAACCCGAUGCAAACUGCGAAUACCGGAGAAUGUUAUCACGGGAGACACACGGCGGGUGCUAACGUCCGUCGUGAAGAGGGAAACAACCCAGACCGCCAGCUAAGGUCCCAAAGUCAUGGUUAAGUGGGAAACGAUGUGGGAAGGCCCAGACAGCCAGGAUGUUGGCUUAGAAGCAGCCAUCAUUUAAAGAAAGCGUAAUAGCUCACUGGUCGAGUCGGCCUGCGCGGAAGAUGUAACGGGGCUAAACCAUGCACCGAAGCUGCGGCAGCGACACUAUGUGUUGUUGGGUAGGGGAGCGUUCUGUAAGCCUGUGAAGGUGGCCUGUGAGGGUUGCUGGAGGUAUCAGAAGUGCGAAUGCUGACAUAAGUAACGAUAAAGCGGGUGAAAAGCCCGCUCGCCGGAAGACCAAGGGUUCCUGUCCAACGUUAAUCGGGGCAGGGUGAGUCGACCCCUAAGGCGAGGCCGAAAGGCGUAGUCGAUGGGAAACAGGUUAAUAUUCCUGUACUUGGUGUUACUGCGAAGGGGGGACGGAGAAGGCUAUGUUGGCCGGGCGACGGUUGUCCCGGUUUAAGCGUGUAGGCUGGUUUUCCAGGCAAAUCCGGAAAACUAAGGCUGAGGCGUGAUGACGAGGCACUACGGUGCUGAAGCAACAAAUGCCCUGCUUCCAGGAAAAGCCUCUAAGCAUCAGGUAACAUCAAAUCGUACCCCAAACCGACACAGGUGGUCAGGUAGAGAAUACCAAGGCGCUUGAGAGAACUCGGGUGAAGGAACUAGGCAAAAUGGUGCCGUAACUUCGGGAGAAGGCACGCUGAUAUGUAGGUGAAGCGACUUGCUCGUGGAGCUGAAAUCAGUCGAAGAUACCAGCUGGCUGCAACUGUUUAUUAAAAACACAGCACUGUGCAAACACGAAAGUGGACGUAUACGGUGUGACGCCUGCCCGGUGCCGGAAGGUUAAUUGAUGGGGUUAGCGGUAACGCGAAGCUCUUGAUCGAAGCCCCGGUAAACGGCGGCCGUAACUAUAACGGUCCUAAGGUAGCGAAAUUCCUUGUCGGGUAAGUUCCGACCUGCACGAAUGGCGUAAUGAUGGCCAGGCUGUCUCCACCCGAGACUCAGUGAAAUUGAACUCGCUGUGAAGAUGCAGUGUACCCGCGGCAAGACGGAAAGACCCCGUGAACCUUUACUAUAGCUUGACACUGAACAUUGAGCCUUGAUGUGUAGGAUAGGUGGGAGGCUUUGAAGUGUGGACGCCAGUCUGCAUGGAGCCGACCUUGAAAUACCACCCUUUAAUGUUUGAUGUUCUAACGUUGACCCGUGAUCCGGGUUGCGGACAGUGUCUGGUGGGUAGUUUGACUGGGGCGGUCUCCUCCUAAAGAGUAACGGAGGAGCACGAAGGUUGGCUAAUCCUGGUCGGACAUCAGGAGGUUAGUGCAAUGGCAUAAGCCAGCUUGACUGCGAGCGUGACGGCGCGAGCAGGUGCGAAAGCAGGUCAUAGUGAUCCGGUGGUUCUGAAUGGAAGGGCCAUCGCUCAACGGAUAAAAGGUACUCCGGGGAUAACAGGCUGAUACCGCCCAAGAGUUCAUAUCGACGGCGGUGUUUGGCACCUCGAUGUCGGCUCAUCACAUCCUGGGGCUGAAGUAGGUCCCAAGGGUAUGGCUGUUCGCCAUUUAAAGUGGUACGCGAGCUGGGUUUAGAACGUCGUGAGACAGUUCGGUCCCUAUCUGCCGUGGGCGCUGGAGAACUGAGGGGGGCUGCUCCUAGUACGAGAGGACCGGAGUGGACGCAUCACUGGUGUUCGGGUUGUCAUGCCAAUGGCACUGCCCGGUAGCUAAAUGCGGAAGAGAUAAGUGCUGAAAGCAUCUAAGCACGAAACUUGCCCCGAGAUGAGUUCUCCCUGACUCCCUGAGAGUCCUGAAGGAACGUUGAAGACGACGACGUUGAUAGGCCGGGUGUGUAAGCGCAGCGAUGCGUUGAGCUAACCGGUACUAAUGAACCGUGAGGCUUAACCU